GACGAACGCUGGCGGCGUGCUUAACACAUGCAAGUCGAACGGAAAGGCCCUGCUUUUGUGGGGUGCUCGAGUGGCGAACGGGUGAGUAACACGUGAGUAACCUGCCCUUGACUUUGGGAUAACUUCAGGAAACUGGGGCUAAUACCGGAUAGGAGCUCCUGCUGCAUGGUGGGGGUUGGAAAGUUUCGGCGGUUGGGGAUGGACUCGCGGCUUAUCAGCUUGUUGGUGGGGUAGUGGCUUACCAAGGCUUUGACGGGUAGCCGGCCUGAGAGGGUGACCGGCGACAUUGGGACUGCGGUACGGCCCAGACUCCUACGGGAGGCAGCAGUGGGGAAUAUGGCACAAUGGGCGGAAGCCUGAUGCAGCAACGCCGCGUGCGGGAUGACGGCCUUCGGGUUGUAAACCGCUUUCGCCUGUGACGAAGCGUGAGUGACGGUAAUGGGUAAAGAAGCACCGGCUAACUACGUG
Molecule: ribosomal RNA, 468 nt
Filed under: uncultured bacterium
Lineage: Bacteria
Description: partial 16S ribosomal RNA
Rfam family: Bacterial small subunit ribosomal RNA
Source: RNAcentral